AGAGUUUGAUCCUGGCUCAGGACGAACGCUGGCGGCGUGCCUAAUACAUGCAAGUAGAACGCUGAAGACUUUAGCUUGCUAAAGUUGGAAGAGUUGCGAACGGGUGAGUAACGCGUAGGUAACCUGCCUACUAGCGGGGGAUAACUAUUGGAAACGAUAGCUAAUACCGCAUAACAGCAUUUAACACAUGUUAGAUGCUUGAAAGGAGCAAUUGCUUCACUAGUAGAUGGACCUGCGUUGUAUUAGCUAGUUGGUGAGGUAACGGCUCACCAAGGCGACGAUACAUAGCCGACCUGAGAGGGUGAUCGGCCACACUGGGACUGAGACACGGCCCAGACUCCUACGGGAGGCAGCAGUAGGGAAUCUUCGGCAAUGGGGGCAACCUGACCGAGCAACGCCGCGUGAGUGAAGAAGGUUUUCGGAUCGUAAAGCUCUGUUGUAAGAGAAGAACGUGUGUGAGAGUGGAAAGUUCACACAGUGACGGUAACCUUACCAGAAAGGGACGGCUAACUACGUGCCAGCAGCCGCGGUAAU
Molecule: ribosomal RNA, 534 nt
Filed under: Streptococcus sp. W27
Lineage: Bacteria; Bacillati; Bacillota; Bacilli; Lactobacillales; Streptococcaceae
Description: bacterial SSU rRNA
Rfam family: Bacterial small subunit ribosomal RNA
Source: RNAcentral